UGGGGAAUAUUGCACAAUGGGGGAAACCCUGAUGCAGCGACGCCGCGUGAGCGAUGAAGUAUUUCGGUAUGUAAAGCUCUAUCAGCAGGGAAGAAAAUGACGGUACCUGACUAAGAAGCCCUGGCUAACUACGUGCCAGCAGCCGCGGUAAUACGUAGGGGGCAAGCGUUAUCCGGAUUUACUGGGUGUAAAGGGAGCGUAGACGGCUGUGCAAGCCAGAUGUGAAAGCCCGGGGCUCAACCCCGGGACUGCAUUUGGAACUGCGUGGCUUGAGUGUCGGAGAGGCAGGCGGAAUUCCUAGUGUAGCGGUGAAAUGCGUAGAUAUUAGGAGGAACACCAGUGGCGAAGGCGGCCUGCUGGACGAUGACUGACGUUGAGGCUCGAAAGCGUGGGGAGCAAACA
This 402-nucleotide ribosomal RNA is filed under the name uncultured Ruminococcus sp. RNAcentral describes it as "bacterial SSU rRNA". It matches the Rfam family "Bacterial small subunit ribosomal RNA", at positions 355 to 774 of the family's 1533-position model. The record is from RNAcentral. Lineage: Bacteria; Bacillati; Bacillota; Clostridia; Eubacteriales; Oscillospiraceae.